Non-coding RNA from Punica granatum (pomegranate), 715 nucleotides. NCBI's taxonomy places the organism in Eukaryota, Viridiplantae, Streptophyta, Magnoliopsida, Myrtales, Lythraceae. The record is from RefSeq and is a predicted model, not a curated record.
GAAAAUGGUAAGCAGUUCUCUGCCAAGCGAACUCGGACUUGGUCCAGUUGUAAGACAACCUGUCCCUCACCGAUGGGUAUGACUUUGCAGACACGCCCUCCAUCUCUCCCCUCGGUCUCACAUUGCUUGGAUCCUCCAAAUUAUUCUCAGGGAUGACCAUCCUAGACGGUGACUUAGGGUUCUCGUUGACGAUCAGGCCGACAAGUGACAGGAGGAACAUGACCGACGCGAGGAUACCGAUGAAGCCCCUGAUGGGUCGCCGCUGGCGGCUCUCUACUGGAGGGGUGGCAACGGAAGGGUCCUCCGGGAGGAGUGUAUAGGGCUGGUCUGAGGUUCGCGAGGCGUCCAUUUUGUUGGGCUUAGGAAACAAAUUGAGAAAUGUGAUAUAUAUGUAUGUUUGUACUGUGUAUAUGUGUCAGAGAGAGAGAGAGAGAGAGAGAGAGAGAGAGAGAGGGAGUGAGGGAGGGGAGAAGAAGGGCAGUAUAUGUAAAUAUAUGUUAAGCAUGUGCAUGUAAUAAAGGGGCGCAGGCAGGCAGGGGUAGUGUUGCAUUUGCAGCAGAAGGUAGAUUUAUUGUUUGAGCACAUCAGUUCUUUUCGAUUGGUUUGAUAGUUAUAUAAUGUGAUUUGAUUGGAUUUGGGGUGAGAUAGGUUGCGCAUGUGAAUGAAUUUGUGAUGGCUUAACGGAGGAGAUAAAAUACAUUUCUUAUUGUUAUUA